RNAcentral lists this ribosomal RNA (253 nucleotides) under uncultured bacterium. RNAcentral describes it as "partial 16S ribosomal RNA". It matches the Rfam family "Bacterial small subunit ribosomal RNA", at positions 524 to 776 of the family's 1533-position model. The record is from RNAcentral.
UACAGAGGGGGCAAGCGUUGUUCGGAAUUACUGGGCGUAAAGGGCGCGUAGGCGGCCUGCUAAGUCGAACGUGAAAUCCCCGAGCUCAACUCGGGAACUGCGUCCGAUACUGACAGGCUUGAAUCCGGGAGAGGGAUGCGGAAUUCCAGGUGUAGCGGUGAAAUGCGUAGAUAUCUGGAGGAACACCGGUGGCGAAGGCGGCAUCCUGGACCGGCAUUGACGCUGAGGCGCGAAAGCUAGGGUAGCAAACGGG